GUGCAGCAGGCGAGAAAACUUUACAAUGCUGGAAACAGCGAUAAGGGGACCUCGAGUGCCAGGUUACAAAUCUGGCUGUCGUGAUGCCUAAAAAGCAUUGCAUAGCAAGGGCCGGGCAAGACCGGUGCCAGCCGCCGCGGUAACACCGGCGGCUCGAGUGGUAACCGUUAUUAUUGGGUCUAAAGGGUCUGUAGCCGGCCGGAUAAGUCUCUUGGGAAAUCUGGCAGCUUAACUGUCAGGCUUUCAGGAGAUACUGUCUGGCUCGAGGCCGGGAGAGGUGAGAGGUACUUCAGGGGUAGGGGUGAAAUCUUGUAAUCCCUGAAGGACCACCAGUGGCGAAGGCGUCUCACCAGAACGGACCUGACGGCAAGGGACGAAAGCUAGGGGCACGAACCGGAUUAGAUACCCGGGUAGUCCUAGCCGUAAACGAUACUCGCUAGGUGUCGGCAACGGUGCGACCGUUGUCGGUGCCGUAGGGAAGCCGUGAAGCGAGCCACCUGGGAAGUACGGCCGCAAGGCUGAAACUUAAAGGAAUUGGCGGGGGAGCAC
Molecule: ribosomal RNA, 549 nt
Filed under: uncultured bacterium
Lineage: Bacteria
Description: bacterial SSU rRNA
Rfam family: Archaeal small subunit ribosomal RNA
Source: RNAcentral